This 1682-nucleotide long non-coding RNA is filed under the name Canis lupus familiaris (dog). RNAcentral describes it as "lncRNA (ENSCAFG00000050296.1, ENSCAFG00845020146.1)". The record is from RNAcentral. Lineage: Eukaryota; Metazoa; Chordata; Mammalia; Carnivora; Canidae.
CUUCCUGCAUGGGGCCUGCUUCUCCCUCUGCUUGUGUCUCUGCCUCUCUGUGUCUCUCAUGAAUAAAUAAAUAAAAUCUUAAAAAAUUCUAUUUCUUUGGUUGCCUUAGUAAAAUAAGUGAUUGAGGAAAAAGAGUAUUCAAGAAGAAACUUUUGCCUAAUUAUCAUUUCUAUGUAUCUAGUAUUUGCUACUUUAUCAUGCCCCUUUUACUCCUCACUUUAUUAGUUAUGAGAAAUUAAUAAAUUCAGUUUGUUUUUGAAAUCAGAACAAGUAGAUUCUAAUCCUAACUCUGCUUUCAGCAGGUGGGUGACAUGGGCAACUGUCUUAAGCUCCCUAGGACUCUGUUUUUUCAUUUGCAAAAUAAGGAAUGAUGUAUAUUAGACAAUUAUUGUGAGGGUUAUUUUCAACUUGUAAAUUGCAAUGCUUUAUGACUGGCAGAAAGUGGACACUUAAUACAAAUUGUUCUCCUUUCUUUAGCUCUUCUUUAAAAAAAAUAAAACUAAUGAAGAAAUACAAUACUAAUGAAGAGAGAUCCCAGAGUUUUAAAAAAAAGAAAGAAAGAAAGAAGACAACACUUAUGGGAUAUAGCUCAGCCUAGCUGGCUGCAUCCCUGACACCUGAUAUAAGUGACCACCCUGUCACCUGACGUCAUAGGACUGCAUAACGCUAACUGGUAUGUAGGUGCCUCCCUCCUGCCCUCUCCCCUCCUCCUCCUUUCCUUCCUUCCCUUCCUUCCCUUGUUCUUUUCCUUUUUUAAAAAAUAUUUUAUUUAUUUGAGAGAGAAAGAGAGAACAAGAGCAGGGGAGAGGGGCAGAGGGAGAGGGAGAAGCAGACUUUGAUGUGGCUGGAGGACAGGGAGUGAGCUGAGCUUGGACAGAGUAGGAAUAUAAAAGGAGGUAAACUGAGAGGUUUUAGGUAUAUACCCACAUCCCAAUAAAUGUUUUGUUUUUUUUUCCAACCCGAGAUCUAGCUUCUUCAUGGACCCAUGGCGAUGAAAUACUUCUGGCACUUUCUGACAUUGCUGCCCCACAGGAAAAGAGGGAAGUGGUCUUGAAAAAGAUAACGGACAAAUUUGCUCUGCUGUAACGACUCAUUGCAGAGUUUUGACAUUGGACUUUUGGGAGGAUAUUUUUUUUUUUAACGGCUUAAUGAAUGAGUUGGAAAUAGAUUCCUGGACAUGGCCAAAUAUGGGAAACAUGUAGAGUAUCAUUUUGUUGUCAUUUAUCCAUUGGCCGCUUACAACAAAUCACGGUUGUGAAGCAGCAGUUUUGUGUGCAACAUCGUGAUAGUUUUCGUUCACUUAUGAUAUCGUAGGUGUGAGUUUUAUUUAUUAUUUAUUUAUUAUUAUUUAUUUUAUUAUUUAUUUAUUUAUAAUUUUGGGAGACAGGGAGGGGUUUUCAUCGACUGUGACAGUCACCUCGUCUGUAAGUCGGGAAUAACGAAAAUGCUUAUCUCAAAGGGUGGUUGUGAGCCUAAGAUGACUCUAAAGGAAUCAGGUGCUCAGAGCCGUGCCGGGCGUCAGCUGCUGGCCUGUCCCAAUCCUCAUCAUGAUUAUUGGUGGCCCUCGUGAGGCGAGACACGGUGUGACUUUAUUGCAAGACUUUUACACGGGGUUCAAAAAUCUACCGUAAAUGCGUGUACAUUUGAUUUGGCUGGAGAGACACAUUCUGCUAUUUUGCCGU